GAUGAACGCUGGCGGCGUGCCUAAUACAUGCAAGUCGAGCGAACGGACGAGAAGCUUGCUUCUCUGAUGUUAGCGGCGGACGGGUGAGUAACACGUGGAUAACCUACCUAUAAGACUGGGAUAACUUCGGGAAACCGUAGCUAAUACCGGAUAAUAUUUUGAACCGCAUGGUUCAAAAGUGAAAGACGGUCUUGCUGUCACUUAUAGAUGGAUCCGCGCCGCAUUAGCUAGUUGGUAAGGUAACGGCUUACCAAGGCAACGAUGCGUAGCCGACCUGAGAGGGUGAUCGGCCACACUGGAACUGAGACACGGUCCAGACUCCUACGGGAGGCAGCAGUAGGGAAUCUUCCGCAAUGGGCGAAAGCCUGACGGAGCAACGCCGCGUGAGUGAAGAAGGUCUUCGGAUCGUAAAACUCUGUUAUUAGGGAAGAACAAAUGUGUAAGUAACUAUGCACGUCUUGACGGUACCUAAUCAGAAAGCCACGGCUAACUACGUGCCAGCAGCCGCGGUAAUACGUAGGUGGCAAGCGUUAUCCGGAAUUAUUGGGCGUAAAGCGCGCGUAGGCGGUUUUUUAAGUCUGAUGUGAAAGCCCACGGCUCAACCGUGGAGGGUCAUUGGAAACUGGAAAACUUGAGUGCAGAAGAGGAAAGUGGAAUUCCAUGUGUAGCGGUGAAAUGCGCAGAGAUAUGGAGGAACACCAGUGGCGAAGGCGACUUUCUGGUCUGUAACUGACGCUGAUGUGCGAAAGCGUGGGGAUCAAACAGGAUUAGAUACCCUGGUAGUCCACGCCGUAAACGAUGAGUGCUAAGUGUUAGGGGGGUUCCGCCCCUUAGUGCUGCAGCUAACGCAUUAAGCACUCCGCCUGGGGAGUACGACCGCAAGGUUGAAACUCAAAGGAAUUGACGGGGACCCGCACAAGCGGUGGAGCAUGUGGUUUAAUUCGAAGCAACGCGAAGAACCUUACCAAAUCUUGACAUCCUUUGACAACUCUAGAGAUAGAGCCUUCCCCUUCGGGGGACAAAGUGACAGGUGGUGCAUGGUUGUCGUCAGCUCGUGUCGUGAGAUGUUGGGUUAAGUCCCGCAACGAGCGCAACCCUUAAGCUUAGUUGCCAUCAUUAAGUUGGGCACUCUAAGUUGACUGCCGGUGACAAACCGGAGGAAGGUGGGGAUGACGUCAAAUCAUCAUGCCCCUUAUGAUUUGGGCUACACACGUGCUACAAUGGACAAUACAAAGGGCAGCGAAACCGCGAGGUCAAGCAAAUCCCAUAAAGUUGUUCUCAGUUCGGAUUGUAGUCUGCAACUCGACUACAUGAAGCUGGAAUCGCUAGUAAUCGUAGAUCAGCAUGCUACGGUGAAUACGUUCCCGGGUCU
Molecule: ribosomal RNA, 1372 nt
Filed under: uncultured bacterium
Lineage: Bacteria
Description: bacterial SSU rRNA
Rfam family: Bacterial small subunit ribosomal RNA
Source: RNAcentral